GGUCAAGCGAAUAAGCGCACACGGUGGAUGCCUAGGCGGUCAGAGGCGAUGAAGGACGUGGUAGCCUGCGAAAAGUGUCGGGGAGCUGGCAACAAGCUUUGAUCCGGCAAUAUCCGAAUGGGGAAACCCACUGCUUCGGCAGUAUCCUGCAGUGAAUUCAUAGCUGCUGGAAGCGAACCCGGUGAACUGAAAUAUCUAAGUAACCGGAGGAAAAGAAAUCAACCGAGAUUCCCUGAGUAGUGACGAGCGAACGGGGAACAGCCCUUAAGCUGGAAUGGCUUUAGAAAAACAAUCUGGAAAGAUUGGCCAUAGAAGGUGAUAGCCCUGUAUUUAAAAGGGCCACUCCAGUGAAGACGAGUAGGGCGGGGCACGUGAAACCCUGUCUGAAUAUGGGGGGACCAUCCUCCAAGGCUAAAUACUCCUGACCGACCGAUAGUGAACCAGUACCGUGAGGGAAAGGCGAAAAGAACCCCGGAGAGGGGAGUGAAAUAGAUCCUGAAACCGUGUGCGUACAAGCAGUAGGAGCUCGCAAGAGUGACUGCGUACCUUUUGUAUAAUGGGUCAGCGACUUACUGUUCGUGGCAAGCUUAACCGUAUAGGGGAGGCGAAGGGAAACCGAGUCUGAUAAGGGCGCAUAGUCGCGGGCAGUAGACCCGAAACCGGGUGAUCUAGUCAUGGCCAGGGUGAAGGUGCCGUAACANNNNNNNNNNNNNNNNNNNNNNNNNNNNNNNNNNNNNNNNNNNNNNNNNNNNNNNNNNNNNNNNNNNNNNNNNNNNNNNNNNNNNNNNNNNNNNNNNUAGGUACUGGAGGCCCGAACCCACGUCUGUUGCAAAAGACGGGGAUGAGCUGUGAUUAGGAGUGAAAAGCUAAUCGAACCCGGAGAUAGCUGGUUCUCCUCGAAAGCUAUUUAGGUAGCGCCUCAUAUGUAUCCUCUCGGGGGUAGAGCACUGUUAUGGCUAGGGGGUCAUCGCGACUUACCAAACCAUUGCAAACUCCGAAUACCGAGACGGACUGUAUGGGAGACACACGGCGGGUGCUAACGUCCGUCGUGAAAAGGGAAACAACCCAGACCCACAGCUAAGGUCCCAAAUUCACUGCUAAGUGGAAAACGAUGUGGAAAGGCAUAGACAGCCAGGAGGUUGGCUUAGAAGCAGCCACCCUUUAAAGAAAGCGUAAUAGCUCACUGGUCGAGUCGGUCUGCGCGGAAGAUUUAACGGGGCUAAGCAGUGAACCGAAGCUUGGGGUGCAUAAAACUUGUUUUAUGCGCGGUAGAGGAGCGUUCCGUAAGCCUGCGAAGGUGGAUUGAGAAGUCUGCUGGAGGUAUCGGAAGUGCGAAUGCUGACAUGAGUAACGAUAAUGCGGGUGAAAAGCCCGCACGCCGAAAGCCCAAGGUUUCCUUGCGCAACGUUAAUCGACGCAGGGUUAGUCGGUCCCUAAGGCGAGGGCGAAAGCCGUAGUCGAUGGGAAGCAGGUUAAUAUUCCUGCACCUCGCGUGAGUGCGAUGGAGGGACGGAGAAGGUUAGGUGUACCGGGCGUUGGUUGUCCCGGGGAAAGGCGGUAGGUUUGAAUCUUUGGCAAAUCCGGGAUUCUUUAAGACCGAGCACCGAGACGAGCCUUUAUGGCGAAGUCACUGAUACCACGCUUCCAGGAAAAGCUCCUAAGCUUCAGCUCACGAAGACCGUACCGUAAACCGACACAGGUGGGUAGGAUGAGAAUUCUCAGGCGCUUGAGAGAACUCGGGUGAAGGAACUAGGCAACAUGGCACCGUAACUUCGGGAGAAGGUGCACCCUUUUUGGUGGCUCAUGCGAGCUAUAGCUGAAGAGGGUCGCAGAAACCAGGCCGCUGCGACUGUUUAUCAAAAACACAGCACUCUGCAAACACGAAAGUGGACGUAUAGGGUGUGACGCCUGCCCGGUGCUGGAAGGUUAAUUGAUGGGGUCAGCCGCAAGGCGAAGCUCUUGAUCGAAGCCCCAGUAAACGGCGGCCGUAACUAUAACGGUCCUAAGGUAGCGAAAUUCCUUGUCGGGUAAGUUCCGACCUGCACGAAUGGCGUAACGACAGCGGCGCUGUCUCCACCCGAGACUCAGUGAAAUUGAAAUCGCUGUGAAGAUGCAGCGUUCCCGUGGCAAGACGGAAAGACCCCGUGAACCUUUACUAUAGCUUUACACUGAACGUUGAGUUCGUCUGUGUAGGAUAGGUGGGAGGCUAUGAAACUGUGGCGCUAGCUGCAGCGGAGCCAUCCUUGAAAUACCACCCUGUCGUGCUUGACGUUCUAACCUAGGUCCGUUAUCCGGAUCAGGGACCGUGUAUGGUGGGUAGUUUGACUGGGGCGGUCUCCUCCUAAAGAGUAACGGAGGAGCACGAAGGUACGCUCAGCGCGGUCGGACAUCGCGCACUGUGUGCAAAGGCAUAAGCGUGCUUGACUGCAAGAUCGACGGAUCAAGCAGGUACGAAAGUAGGUCUUAGUGAUCCGGUGGUUCUGUAUGGAAGGGCCAUCGCUCAACGGAUAAAAGGUACUCCGGGGAUAACAGGCUGAUACCGCCCAAGAGUUCAUAUCGACGGCGGUGUUUGGCACCUCGAUGUCGGCUCAUCACAUCCUGGGGCUGUAGUCGGUCCCAAGGGUAUGGCUGUUCGCCAUUUAAAGUGGUACGCGAGCUGGGUUCAGAACGUCGUGAGACAGUUCGGUCCCUAUCUGCCAUGGGCGUUGGAAGUUUGAGAGGGGCUGCUCCUAGUACGAGAGGACCGGAGUGGACGAACCUCUGGUGUUCCGGUUGUCACGCCAGUGGCAUUGCCGGGUAGCUAUGUUCGGAAGCGAUAACCGCUGAAAGCAUCUAAGCGGGAAGCGCGCCUCAAGAUGAGACUUCCCGGGGCACAAGCCCCCUAAAGGAACCAUGUAGACUACGUGGUUGAUAGGUCAGGUGUGUAAGUACAGCAAUGUAUUGAGCUAACUGAUACUAAUGAUCCGUGCGGCUUGACCAU
Molecule: ribosomal RNA, 2980 nt
Filed under: Xanthomonas cannabis
Lineage: Bacteria; Pseudomonadati; Pseudomonadota; Gammaproteobacteria; Lysobacterales; Lysobacteraceae
Description: 23S ribosomal RNA
Rfam family: Bacterial large subunit ribosomal RNA
Source: RNAcentral